GGACCACAACUCCCAGGAGGCAUCGUGAUGUUGCCCGCGCAGCCUUACUUCCUGCCAGGCCGUUUCCUGGGUAACAGCGGCUCGGCCUGUCUGGGAAGUUUAAGGUAGGAGGAGCUUGUGGGCUGCCUGGAGAGCUUUGGGAGUAGCUUAUUUUAACCCGUCGCAAGAACGCGGCAGGGCUGCAGCAGAGAAACCGCUGCCUAGUUGUGCCCAGACUCUGCUUUUCUGAACGGGGAGAUGGUUCUUUGCACCUCACUUCAGGCAGGACCAGCACAGGUGCUUCGCGGCUUGCUCUUGUUUAUUGUCUUUCGGCCCCUUCUGGAAUGUGCUACAGCAUGUCCAUAUGGGGAUGAGAAGAGAGGACAAAUGGAGGCAUAAGGAAGUGGAACUGGCUCCUUGAGUGGGCUUGUGUGUCCUGUGCUCAAGGGAGACAUGGCCCUGGGAGAAGAGCAUAGCUCCUCCGGAACAGACAAAGACGGAUAGGACUUGCUUAAUAUGCCACAGUGGCUCUUUGUUAGUGAUGAUGAUAAUACUAACAAUUACAGCAAUGAAAAUAGUUGGGAGGCCUUUGUAUUCAUUCAUAAAAUGAGUCACACAAAUUCAGCAGUCCUUGAUUUUCUUUGAUGAAGUUUCCAACCAGCACAUUGAAGAGUACCUUACAGGUACAGAAUUUUUGAGGUCUCCAGCGAAGAAAGAGUAAUGACCUCAACCCCAACUUUCCCUGGAAGCAAGGUCCAGUUGGUCUAAAUUGGAGGAAUCCUUUGAUAAGGAUGAUGGAAAAUCCUCUACCUGUUUAUUCACUGUAAAGUCGUAUUGCCAUUCAAAGUUUGCAGUACUAGUAGUAUUUUCAUGAACAAAAACCUCUGUCCCCUUCUCUCUGUUCCCUUGUCAGUCCCACUACCAUGAGUCCCAUCACUGUUACUCAUGCAAGAAAAAAAUAGCAGUAACUUCCGUUUAUGAAGUGGUAGUAGGCGCUGUCCCUCAAAUCUUUCACAAUAGCCCUAUGCAGUAGAUAGUAUCAGCUCCUGUUAAUCGUGGAAAAUGAGGCUUAUAGAGCUUAGGUCAGGGUCUGAAGUCACAUCUCAGAAGUAUCAGAGCCAGAAUUAAAAUCCAAGUCUGUGUGACUCCAAAGUCUUUGCUUUUUUUUUUUUUUNNNNNNNNNNNNNNNNNNNNAACAGAGGGAGAGGGAGAAGCAGACUCCCUGCUGAGCAAGGAGCCCGAUGUGGGACUCAAUCCCAGGAUGCUGGGAUCAUGACUUGAGCCGAAAGCAGCUGCUUAAUCAACUGAGCCACCCAAGCAUCCCAAGUCUUUGCUCUUGAUGAGAAUUUCAUGUCAUGCCACCUGCCCUUCUGAAUGAAAAGUUUCACUGGUGUAGAUAUAUGCAUGUUUCCCUCCAAUUCUCAUUUAUUGCAAGGACCACAUUUUGACAUAAUAAAGGAACUCAGAAGGAUAAAAAUAAUUCAGGGUUCCAACACCCUGUUGUAGCAACUGUUUCAUUUUUAUCCAUUUCCUUUUGAUCUUUAUCCAUAUGUACAUGUUUUACGUAGUUGUAGAUAUAAUUUUGUAUUCUGCCGCUAUGGUUAAUAUGAUACCAGGCAUUUUCCUUCCUGCUAUUUGGUUUUUAAUGGACGCGUAAUACUCCAUUUUCUUAAAGUGCCAUGAUUUCAUUAACCAUUCCCCACAAUGGACCAAGUUCUUUCCAUGUUUUGAGUUGUAGAAACUCUACUGUAGCAAACAAUUUGAUUUCUGCCCCCUCCUCCCAUCUUUUCUAAUUUUUUUAAGAGAACCAGUUCCUAGGAGUGACAUUACAAAACAAGAAUUUGAACACGUUUAUGGCUUUGAUACUUUAAAAACGAGUCAAAUUAAUAAAGUUUGUACCUCUGAUGAUAGUAAACAGAUAGUCUAAUCCACAAUAAUAGAUUAAUUACAUUAAUUAUUGUUUAGGGGAACCAAAUUAAUGACAAAUGUAGAGUAAUUGCUUGUGAGUACAGGGUUUCUUUUCGGGGUGGUGAAAUGUUCUGGAAGUAGGUGGUGGUGAUGGUUGUAUAGCUUUGUGACAAUACUAGAAACACUGAAUUGUGUUUAUACUUGAAAAAGGUCAAUGGUAUGUUAUGUGAAUUAUAUCUCAAUAAAGCCACUAUAAAGAAUUAAAAACAAAGUUUCUGAUAUUCCAAGUAAUGGUUUCAACCAUUGCUAUCAAUGUU
RNAcentral lists this long non-coding RNA (2204 nucleotides) under Mustela putorius furo (domestic ferret). Its description in RNAcentral is "lncRNA (ENSMPUG00000030085.1)". The record is from RNAcentral. Lineage: Eukaryota; Metazoa; Chordata; Mammalia; Carnivora; Mustelidae.